UACGUAGGGUGCAAGCGUUGUCCGGAAUUAUUGGGCGUAAAGAGCUCGUAGGCGGUCUGUCGCGUCUGCUGUGAAAUCCCGAGGCUCAACCUCGGGCGUGCAGUGGGUACGGGCAGGCUAGAGUGCGGUAGGGGAGAGUGGAACUCCUGGUGUAGCGGUGGAAUGCGCAGAUAUCAGGAGGAACACCGAUGGCGAAGGCAGUUCUCUGGGACGUAACUGACGCUGAGGAGCGAAAGCGUGGGGAGCGAACAGG
Molecule: ribosomal RNA, 253 nt
Filed under: uncultured bacterium
Lineage: Bacteria
Description: partial 16S ribosomal RNA
Rfam family: Bacterial small subunit ribosomal RNA
Source: RNAcentral